This is a long non-coding RNA of Chelonia mydas (Green sea turtle), 5037 nucleotides long. RefSeq lists it as uncharacterized. The record is from RefSeq and is a predicted model, not a curated record. NCBI's taxonomy places the organism in Eukaryota, Metazoa, Chordata, Testudines, Cheloniidae. The transcript has 2 exons.
ACUAGCAGCCCGCGUGGCCAGCGCAGCCCGGGGCCGUUCUCAGCAGGUGCUUCGGGACGCGCAGCGCCGCAGCCUCCGCGGGGCCCUGGGGCCGGGGCGCGGGAGGCCGGAGGAGCCCGGGACUCCGCAGCCCGCCGGUCGGCUGAUGGGCUGGGAUACGCCAAGACUGGAGGAGAAGUGAGUGCAGCAGUAUCAAGUUGUAUUGGCAGGGCUCUGAGGCCCAAUACUGGGAUGGCAGGAGCCUUGCAGGUCAGGACAAAGUUCCUUUAGCAGAGCUGUGUACAAGAAGUUUGGGCUGUGGCUGGCUCCAGCUGAUGCUCCUAGUUUCACUAUGAUCCCCCUGAAUCCAAAAAUCCAGCAUAAAUUUAAGUAAUCAUCAUGUGAAUCCCCAACUGGAGCAAGCUUGGAAAAACCACUCCGAUGCAAUGUCUUGAUUUGUUGGGGAGGAACCAUGGGAGAAACAGGGCCAGGGCCAUGGAAAAGGGAUGGAAUGGGAUGGGGCCGCAAGCCAAAGGGGGAGAACAGAGGUAGGACCACAGGCAGAAGGGGCAGGGAGGGGCCCCCCACUUGCUCUGGCCCAGGAGACCUUAAUCCACCUCUGCCCCUUCCCUGCAUACUGGUCCCUUCCAGCCAACGUUGCCUGAGAGGUAACAGCUUUUACUGGACCAAACGAUACCGACAAAAAACACUGUCACCCGUGGGCAAGCGCUUGUCACACAGCGCUCACUCCAGGUCUGAUCUUUCCACCCUGUCCUCAAAGGAAACCUGCCUGACACCUUCCAAAGCCGAGCCUGGCGCUUGCAUUCAUAACUUUGCUGCACACUAAAAACCAUGGACUGAACGGGCACUUUUAUCCCAGGACUCUCGCUCUCCCCGGGCUUGCAAAGGCCCUUUCACGCCUCCACCUUCUCCCCAGUCCCAGGCAAGAGAUGGCAUGGCAGCAGCACAGAAGCCCUGGAUUCAAUCCCUCUCCUUCCCCUUCGCUCUGGCAUCAGGAACCAGGAAGGAGGAACUCGCCUAGGCUCGAAUUCAGUGCCAGUGGCCCAUUUCCAGGGCUGGCCUGGGUCCUCCGGAGGCCGAUCCAGUGAUCAGGGAAACCCUCGUAGCACAGCAUGAAAACCUGGGGGAAAUAAGGAAAGCAGAGGGAGAGCAGGUAUCCAACCCUGCUCACUGGUCCCUGUCGCACAGGACUCUGUGCCCGGGGAGUCUGUGCUCUCUCCCACCGCAGCAGGGCAGGGAGCCUCAAAGGGAAGGCUUAGCAUGAAAGGAGGCCUCACCCUCAGUGGGAUACCCCCUUCCCCGCUUCUCAUGGUCAUACAAGGAUAACAGCAGACUCAACUGGCCUGGCCCUACAGAGGGGGAUUCACCCAUCUAGGCUUUAAGGGCAGGCAGGUGAGUCUCAUCACUCUGACCUCCCAGCCACAUGGACUGAGCCCAGCCUGAUUCCAGCCCUGCCAGUCGUUGCCAGGCCCAGGCUGUUGUGACGACAGAAGCAUCUGUGUGUUUCUCUCACUGCGCCCUGCUCACCGUCGAUCCCAGCCAAGGAGGCACUGAGGGAAGAGCAGUGGCUCUGGCUGCAGCUCCAGUUUGCUUGGACUGCUGGGAAACAGUAACAUUUAACUUGGAACCCGCCCCAGCUGACCGGGCCCCAGGUCCUUGCAGAGGGUGCGGUAUGAGCAGUGGUGCGCGGAGCAGCCAAAGGGAACUACUCCAUAUGAAGCCAGUCAGGACUCUGGGGGAGACACCUCUCCAUGAGCAUGCUGUCUCCAGGGCAAGAAGCUUACACUGCUUCGACCUUCCUGGGUCUGCCUCGGAGCAUUCAGCAUCCCCUUCUCACACCGUGCGCUUCCCGCAGCGAGUCCGCACAGGCGGGGCUCCGGGGGAAGCCAGAGGGCUCUGCACCCCAACUCCGCAGUCAGAUGUGACUCCUAGCCAGCCAGUAAAACAGAAGGUUUAUUAGACGACAGGAACACGAUCUAAAACAGAGCUUGGAGGUACAGAGAACAGGACCCUUCAGUCAGGUCCAUCUUGGGGGGGCAGGGAGGCCAGAGCCCCAUCUGGUCCUUCCUCUAUUUCCCCAGCCAGCUCCAAACUGAAACUCUCCAGCCCCUCCUCUCUCGCCUUUGUCUCUUUCCCGGGCCAGGAGGACACCUGAUCUUUUUGUUCUCCAACCCCUUCAGUUGCACCUUUGCAGGGGAGGGGCCCAGGCCAUCUGUUGCCAGGAAACAGGGUGUCGGCCAUUCUCUGUCCAGACAGCCUCACACUGGCUCUGUAGGGCUCUGCAACAAUCACACACCCUUAUUCCCCUACAUAGAUACUUAAGCACUGCAUAGGGGAAACUGAGGCACCCACACAGUAUUCAGAGAGAACAUUAAGAACAGUCCCGCUUCAUCACAGCUGCUACCACUGAAAAUGAGAGAGUUAAGAGAGCCUUGAGUUAUGCACAUCAAGAGUUUUCCACCUUGCCCAAUUUGUUUGCAUCCCUCUCUGGGCUGCAAUAACUCAACAGCAGACAAUUUUUAAACCUUCCCAGGUGGUGUGAUCGCACAUCACUGCAUAGCAGUAGUGAGGCACCAUGGUCUAGUGGCAAGAGGACUAGACUGGGGUCAGGGUUCAAUUCCUACAUGUGCCACUGAUCUGCUGGGUGUCCCUGGGCAAGUCCCUUCCCUGUGCUCGUUUACCCUCCCAUCCUCUGUUUAGGCCUCGUCUAGACCCAAGGUUCCCCACUACUCUUGACUGUGUCCUGUUAGCACCUUUAAAGACGUAUUCAACACUUUCUACACUACAUGCUAUGAGGGUUUUAAGCACAACAGCUGUUUUCCCCCCAAGUUUAGGCAAGGCCUUAGAUGCUAAGUUCUUGGGGACAGGGACUGUCUCUCCCUUUGUGUCUGUGCAGCGCCUGGCACAAUGGAGCCCUGAUCUCAGUGAGGGUUUCUAGGUGCUACCGUAAAAUGCUUUUUUUAUACAAGUGACUUUUCAUUUUUAGGAAGUGAGGAAGCCGAGAGUAAAGGCAGAGCGUGCCCAGCACAACACAUUUCCCUGCAGAGCCACUUGUGUCCCUAUAAAAGCUGGCACACGCCCUUUGUGUAUCUGGGCAUUUAAAGUCAUCAGUGAUAAGACACAGCCUGCUGUGGCUAUUUUCUGUACUGCCUUAGAGGAGCUCUCAGGAGCAGUUGUGAUGGGCAAUGGUAAAAUUAUGAACAUUUGAAAUCUGAUGUGCAGGCCCCAGAACGAAGUCUGCCAGCCCAGCUGGGCCCUUGUCCAAGCUACUGGAAAGAAAGGGGCACUCUGAUGGCAUCAAAAGAAGCCUUUCAUUUCUGGGAGCCUCUGACUGCGUUUGCUUCCCCAAUUCCUCUCCUAUGCCCCAUAUACUGUCACCUGCUCUGGAAGGAGCCCUGCACCAGGAGGUGUUUGGAUCCAACACUCACCACAGAUCACUGCAAUAGUCACAUUCCAAUAACCCCAAGAACUAAUUUCUGGUCCUCCCAGACAGCUAUUAAAUGCUCCUAACAAAUGCCCAGUAGCCAACAGCCCCCUCCCAAAAUACUGCACAUCGAUAGGUUCAUAUUCAACGGCAUAAGCCGCAAACCCUCUGAUCAUCCCAUACAGGUCUGUGCAACAGGGGCCAAUUAACAUCCCUGUGGGGAGCCUGCACUUCACAGUCUGCCUCAGGGUUAAAACUCUCCGCUUUAGCGCUGCAUUAACCCAGCUGUCCAGGUUGGAUCAUAAAGCACGAGCCGUGGGUGUCCCUGCUCUGGCUUUCGCAGGUGUGAGCUCUGCCUGGGACUGAUGCGGGAGUGGGAUGGGAAUGGAAGAGGGGUGAGAAUGUAGAUUCAGAAAGGCCAGGGCAUUAGCCUCACAUGCUCUGCAGACAGGGUUACCCAGCUUCCUAAGAGCUGAGGGUGGGGACUGAAUUCCGCCCAGUAACCCAGAUUUAUGUCUAAGGAGUCCCACGUUACUAUAAGGAGUAGAAGAUGCCGGGGGGAGCUGGAUGUAGUGUCCUGUUUAAAGCCAUUUGGAGCUUGGAUUGCAGAGCCUAGUGAGAGGGGGGAGCAGAAAAUGUGUAACUGACAGCUUCAGAGAGAGGAUGGGCAGCACAGAGCCUGGAGAAUGGAGGGCUGGAACUUACCUGCUGGAGUAACUAGGGUGAUGGGCAAGAUUGCCAAUUCACUCCAUGUGUAGCUGUGUUUCCUGAACUGGCGUUUAUGUUGAUAACCUGAAAGAGAAAACCAUUGAUGCUUUUGAGGCUGCACUAAAGGAGGAGCCUGGUGGGUGGGGGGACUAGAGACAGGGUUAGUCUCCAGUGGGUGAGGGCAACACUCAGAUAGUAACACAACUCAUCUGCAUGGUAACACUCAGGAAAGUUAAGGGGAAUCAACUAAUGCUGUGAUAUUAAUGUGCAUAACUUGGACUGCAUUAAUCCCCGGUGUGGAUGCUCCAGAACUGAAGUAAAGGGGCUUUCAUUCAUAACCUAAUCCUCUUUAAGGGUAAUUUGUGGAUUGCUGUGACAAUGCUACAAACAACAAAAUAUUUACAUGCACAGAUGUAGGGCUCUGCAUGUGGACACCUUUCCACAUGCCCACAUCACUCACAUAUUUCAAAGUCUGUCCCUUAAAAUGACCAGAAGAAGGAAAAGGUGAAGUGAAAGAGGAAGACCAAAGGAGAGGCCUGGACCAGAAUUUACAGAGGGAGUAUGAUCAGGGUGGAUUGAUUUAAAUCAAAGUGAUUGAUUUAAAUCAAAUCACAGAUUUUAAUCAUGAUUUAAAUCAGCAAGCGGGAAACCUUAAUUAAAAUCAAUUAUUUAAAACAUGUUUUGCAUUUGUACUUUUUAGUUAUUUUCCUAAAGAGAGGUUGUUUCUCAUUGUUUAACCAUUAGUAACCAUUAAAACAUGUUGAUUUGUAACUAAAUAUUGCUUUUACACUACAUUUGGUGCUUCAUUUUGCUAAGCAGGAGGACAUGCUAUAUCUGUACACAUUUUUUUAAGCAUUUAUGUAGGUUAACUUAAGAAUCUGAAUAAAUGUAAUUUUUAUAUUUCA